This is a non-coding RNA of Carica papaya (papaya), 466 nucleotides long. The record is from RefSeq and is a predicted model, not a curated record. NCBI's taxonomy places the organism in Eukaryota, Viridiplantae, Streptophyta, Magnoliopsida, Brassicales, Caricaceae.
AGUUACGAAUACAUGCGUGGUAGCCUCUUCAAAACAAAAUUUCACUGCACUUUGAACAUAUUCUUUCCCGCUUGAGAUUCUUUCAAUAUUUUCCGGCGAUUGAAAUAUCCUCAUUUCUCAAAAACUGAACAAGGUAAAUUUUAAUUUUCUCGGUCAUUCAAAUUUCCCUGCAUCAGAACAGCAACAUUUCUCGCUCGCGGAUUGAAGCUUGGAAGGAAAGCAUCAUGCAUGGCCAAAUGUCGCUUUUUCAACUGUAAUUUUUCCACUACAGUUGGUUGGUUGUUUCCAGAUGACAGAGCUGAAAAAGGGAACCUCUUCUGUUGAUCCAAAGGAGAAAGGUUCACUGCUAGUUGAAGCAGAUGAUGGAAUUGGAAAGGAAUUCCUUAGCUCCUGGAAAUCAACGUCAAUGAUGGAAGAUGUUGCACUGGAUUUUGGUUUAGAAACAGUACCUAAAGGAAACAAAAAG